AGUGAACGCUGGCGGUAGGCCUAACACAUGCAAGUCGAACGGCAGCACAGGAGAGCUUGCUCUCUGGGUGGCGAGUGGCGGACGGGUGAGGAAUACAUCGGAAUCUACUCUGUCGUGGGGGAUAACGUAGGGAAACUUACGCUAAUACCGCAUACGACCUACGGGUGAAAGCAGGGGAUCUUCGGACCUUGCGCGAUUGAAUGAGCCGAUGUCGGAUUAGCUAGUUGGCGGGGUAAAGGCACACCAAGGCGACGAUCCGUAGCUGGUCUGAGAGGAUGAUCAGCCACACUGGAACUGAGACACGGUCCAGACUCCUACGGGAGGCAGCAGUGGGGAAUAUUGGACCAUGGGCGCAAGCCUGAUCCAGCCAUACCGCGUGGGUGAAGAAGGCCUUCGGGUUGUAAAGCCCUUUUGUUGGGAAAGAAAUCCAGCUGGCUAAUACCCGGUUGGGAUGACGGUACCCAAAGAAUAAGCACCGGCUAACUUCGUGCCAGCCGCCGCCGUAA
This 506-nucleotide ribosomal RNA is filed under the name uncultured bacterium. RNAcentral describes it as "partial 16S ribosomal RNA". It matches the Rfam family "Bacterial small subunit ribosomal RNA", at positions 29 to 523 of the family's 1533-position model. The record is from RNAcentral.